CUCAAGUGAGAUUACAAGCAAGAACGUUUAAUCGGCGAACGAGAUCAACGUUACACCGUGCGACUUUACAUAAAUCAAAGAUAAAGUCUAAUGGAAACACUGAUCUGCGGAGAAAAACGCGAGAUGGCAUCGUUAGCAGUCCGAUUAAAUAGUUGCGAUGAAGGGAGACGCGAGAUGGCGGUACCAGUUUCUCAACCGUUCAAUCAGUUUAGAAAGAAAAAAAAUGCGAAAUGGCGUCGGCGCCACUUUUUUUGGAAAAUUUGUACGCAGCGAGCCACGCUUACACCACCGAGUCUAGCUUUUGUUUCGCUAAACUACAACUGUCGAUAAGACGCAAUCUUAUUCAAGACUUGACAGCAGAAGACAUGUAGCCGACCCCGAGUUUCCGGGUUUUCGGUGAGUCGAAAAAAUGAAUAGAAAAAAUGGUAGAUGAUGUAUGUAGAGAUUUAAAACAGAAUCCAAUAGAUUUUCACUUCAUUGUGAUAUUGAUUGAAAAAAAAAAAACA
Molecule: long non-coding RNA, 506 nt
Organism: Dinoponera quadriceps
Lineage: Eukaryota; Metazoa; Arthropoda; Insecta; Hymenoptera; Formicidae
Exons: 3
Source: RefSeq, a predicted model, not a curated record